CCAUAGCAUUGUGGACCCACCUGAUUCCAUGCCGAACUCAGAAGUGAAACACAAUAGCGCCGAUGGUAGUGUGGGGUUUCCCCAUGUGAGAGUAGGACAUCGCCAGGC
This 108-nucleotide ribosomal RNA is filed under the name Vibrio splendidus. Lineage: Bacteria; Pseudomonadati; Pseudomonadota; Gammaproteobacteria; Vibrionales; Vibrionaceae. RNAcentral also lists the same sequence under 1 other name. The record is from RNAcentral.